This 1155-nucleotide ribosomal RNA is filed under the name Triticum aestivum (bread wheat). RNAcentral describes it as "partial small subunit ribosomal RNA". Lineage: Eukaryota; Viridiplantae; Streptophyta; Magnoliopsida; Poales; Poaceae. The record is from RNAcentral.
AUGAUGGGCACUGCCGUGGACCUAGGACGGAGGCAGGGCGGCAGCCGCUUCUACGACGCUGGCAGGGCUCGACGAGGGCACCAUCAUGGCCUUCCCAAGUCGAGGUGCGCGGCCGCCGCCGUUACCCAGGAGAAGGCGCCGGAGGAGUCCUCCCGGUUGCCAGCGUCCCCCGUAGGAGUUGCAGGCAACCUCAAGAGGUUCGUGGCAGCAGUUACGCUGUCCGUGCCGGCGGAGUACCCCUCCGAGAGAGGAGAGUGGAGGGGUUGCGGCGUGGAUGCCAACCGGGAGAGGCCCUACUUCGUUCUUGACGACCUAUGGGAGGCGUACAAGGAGUGGAGUGCGUAUGGUGCCGGGGUGCCGCUCGUUCUUGACGGGUGCGACGGGGUCGUGCAGUACUAUGUGCCUUACUUGUCCGCCAUCGAGCUCUAUGGAGACUCAUCAGUCCUGCAGUCAUCUUCCAACCCAAGACAUAUGAUGGACGACAGUGAUGAAGAUUUCCAUGAUUCCAGCAGUGAUGGUAGCAGUGAUUAUGAACAUGUAAGGGUCAAACACUUUGCUCAGGAAGGCUUCUCAAGGGAUGUUGGUGAAUCUGGAGUUACUCAUGGCCGCUUGCUCUUUCAGUACCUCGAGUUUGAUUCUCCAUUUUGCCGUGAACCUUUGACUGAUAAGAUUUCUAGCCUUUCAGCCAGAUUUCCAGGAUUGAGGACCCUUAGGAGUUGUGAUUUAUCAGCACGGAGUUGGAUGAGCAUCGCUUGGUACCCAAUUUAUCGUAUCCCUACUGGACCAACAUUAAAAGAUUUAGAUGCCUGCUUUCUCACUUUCCAUCAGCUUUCAAAUUGCCCGCAAGGAGAUAAUCUGUGGGCUCCUGAUAGCACACCAAACAUACCACUCCCAGUUUUUGGUUUGGCUUCCUACAAGUUUAGCAACUCAGUCUGGUCCUCAACUGAUGGUGAUUGGAAACUGGCUAGCUGCUUAAGGCAAGCUGCUGCCGAUUGGCUGAGAGACAGCCGUGCCGGCCAUCCAGAUUAUCAGUUCUUUGUCUCCCAUGGUGCAUACAACAGCAUACAUCCAACCGAUGCCCCCUCAACACUGACCUGCUGGAAAAAGAGGUCGCGGCUGUUUCCCCUUCUCAUCUCUUCCACCGCCCCCUUUUGA